AUACGGAGGGUGCAAGCGUUACACGGAAUCACUGGGCGUAAAGCGCGCGCAGGCGGGCUGAUAAGUUGGAUGUGAAAGCCUACGGCUCAACCGUAGAACUGCAUCCAAAACUGUCAGUCUAGAGUCUGGGAGGGGAAGAUGGAAUUAGUUGUGUAGGGGUAAAAUCCGUAGAGAUAACUAGGAAUACCAAAAGCGAAGGCGAUCUUCUGGAACAGUACUGACGCUGAGGCGCGAAAGCGUGGGGAGCAAACAGGAUUAGAAACCCCAGUAGUCC
RNAcentral lists this ribosomal RNA (274 nucleotides) under uncultured bacterium. Its description in RNAcentral is "partial 16S ribosomal RNA". It matches the Rfam family "Bacterial small subunit ribosomal RNA", at positions 523 to 796 of the family's 1533-position model. The record is from RNAcentral.